CUAGGGAAAACUGAAGAUGAGUGACAGGAAAUGCUUGAUGAAGCUGAUGGGGAUGGGGAUGGAGAGGUAAUGGGGGAAGAAUUCUUGAGGAUGAUGAGGAAGAGCCUUUAUUAGCUCUGCUUUGUGCCUUCUAGGAAGCCUGCACAACUUGCCUGUUAAGCAGUUCAAUAAUGGAAUACCUGAGUGUACCCAGUUCUAUUUUUACUUUAGGUUAGUCUCUUGGUGUUUAAUCUGUGCCAGAAGUUAUAUGUUCCUACCAAUGUUAUUAAAUCUGUAGUAGCAAGGAAAAAAACGACUUAUUUGGACUGUGAACCCCAAAACAGUAUUUCCACAUGGUAUUUUUAAAGCUGUAGAUUCCAAAGAUACUUAACCUUUAUUUAUCAGUUGGACCCCUCAGAUCCAGAUGAAAUUGUUUUUUUUUUAAAUUAAAAACAGUAUUUUUCCAUUAUUUCCUUUUAUAUGACUUUUAAAAAACCUGAUAACAUUUUUUUUAACGACGUCCUCAAAUAUGUAACGUGUUAAUAAAACUGGGUGAGGGGUACAAUGUUUCUAAAAAAAAAGAAGAAA
This 567-nucleotide long non-coding RNA is filed under the name Rattus norvegicus (Norway rat). Its description in RNAcentral is "long non-coding RNA NONRATT025009". Lineage: Eukaryota; Metazoa; Chordata; Mammalia; Rodentia; Muridae. The record is from RNAcentral.